CACAGAUCAAAAUUUCUGUGAUUUAUUUAGUUCAAGAUUAUGUUGAGCAAUUUUGUAAUGCUCCAUUUCGUACACUUUCUUUCUUAAUAAUGUAUCCUUGGAUGGGAUUGAUAUCUAUCCUCUGUAAUGUCAUUUUGUUUCCUAGUUCGGAACAUUUAAUAUUUCAGAGACAAUUUCUGUGCUUGUAUACUUAAUAUUAACAUAUGUAUCAAUGGUUGAGUAUAAUGCAUAUGAUGGCAUUUUGAAAUGCAGUGUUGCCUAAUAUUUAGAAUUUGAUACCUGCAG
Molecule: unclassified non-coding RNA, 285 nt
Filed under: Hevea brasiliensis (rubber tree)
Lineage: Eukaryota; Viridiplantae; Streptophyta; Magnoliopsida; Malpighiales; Euphorbiaceae
Source: RNAcentral